This 334-nucleotide unclassified non-coding RNA is filed under the name Hevea brasiliensis (rubber tree). The record is from RNAcentral. Lineage: Eukaryota; Viridiplantae; Streptophyta; Magnoliopsida; Malpighiales; Euphorbiaceae.
UAUGCACAUAAUUUCCAAGAAAUUUAUCAGCUAUACAAUAAGAUAUUCACAAUAUUAUCUCAAUAUGCAAAAAAAAAAAUGUUAAUAUGCACAUAAACAUAGUUCCAUUUUCAAAGUACUUCCAUUUGUCAAAGUAUAAAGACAUAUACAUCCUAUUCUCCCCCUUUUUGUCAUCAAUAAAAAAGGAAACAGGAGAAAAUACCCAAAAAGAAUCAUGUUAGCCAAAAUGGAAAUGCAGUAAGGUAGACAGUAGCAAACUAAAAACCAAAAGUAGCACACAGACUAGUAAACUAAAAAUGCAAUCAGUAAGCUAAAAAUCCAGAUGAGAUGCUAU